UUAAGCGACUAAGCGUACACGGUGGAUGCCCUGGCAGUCAGAGGCGAUGAAGGACGUGCUAAUCUGCGAAAAGCGUCGGUAAGGUGAUAUGAACCGUUAUAACCGGCGAUGUCCGAAUGGGGAAACCCAGUGUGAUUCGUCACACUAUCGUUAACUGAAUACAUAGGUUAACGAGGCGAACCGGGGGAACUGAAACAUCUAAGUACCCCGAGGAAAAGAAAUCAACCGAGAUUCCCCAGUAGCGGCGAGCGAACGGGGAGCAGCCCAGAGUCUGAAUCAGCUUGUGUGUUAGUGGAACGGUCUGGAAAGUCCGACGGUACAGGGUGAUAGUCCCGUACACCAAAAUGCACAGGCUGUGAACUCGAAGAGUAGGGCGGGACACGUGGUAUCCUGUCUGAAUAUGGGGGGACCAUCCUCCAAGGCUAAAUACUCCUGACUGACCGAUAGUGAACCAGUACCGUGAGGGAAAGGCGAAAAGAACCCCGGCGAGGGGAGUGAAAAAGAACCUGAAACCGUGUACGUACAAGCAGUGGGAGCACCUUCGGGUGUGACUGCGUACCUUUUGUAUAAUGGGUCAGCGACUUAUAUUCUGUAGCAAGGUUAACCGUAUAGGGGAGCCGCAGGGAAACCGAGUCUUAACUGGGCGUUAAGUUGCAGGGUAUAGACCCGAAACCCGGUGAUCUAGCCAUGGGCAGGUUGAAGGUUGGGUAACACUAACUGGAGGACCGAACCGACUAAUGUUGAAAAAUUAGCGGAUGACUUGUGGCUGGGGGUGAAAGGCCAAUCAAACCGGGAGAUAGCUGGUUCUCCCCGAAAGCUAUUUAGGUAGCGCCUCGUGAACUCAUCUUCGGGGGUAGAGCACUGUUUCGGCUAGGGGGUCAUCCCGACUUACCAACCCGAUGCAAACUACGAAUACCGAAGAAUGUUAUCACGGGAGACACACGGCGGGUGCUAACGUCCGUCGUGAAGAGGGAAACAACCCAGACCGCCAGCUAAGGUCCCAAAGUCAUGGUUAAGUGGGAAACGAUGUGGGAAGGCACAGACAGCCAGGAUGUUGGCUUAGAAGCAGCCAUCAUUUAAAGAAAGCGUAAUAGCUCACUGGUCGAGUCGGCCUGCGCGGAAGAUGUAACGGGGCUAAACCAUGCACCGAAGCUGCGGCAGCGACACUAUGUGUUGUUGGGUAGGGGAGCGUUCUGUAAGCCUGCGAAGGUGUGCUGUGAGGCAUGCUGGAGGUAUCAGAAGUGCGAAUGCUGACAUAAGUAACGAUAAAGCGGGUGAAAAGCCCGCUCGCCGGAAGACCAAGGGUUCCUGUCCAACGUUAAUCGGGGCAGGGUGAGUCGACCCCUAAGGCGAGGCCGAAAGGCGUAGUCGAUGGGAAACAGGUUAAUAUUCCUGUACUUGGUGUUACUGCGAAGGGGGACGGAGAAGGCUAUGUUAGCCGGGCGACGGUUGUCCCGGUUUAAGCAUGUAGGCUGGUUAUCCAGGCAAAUCCGGAUAAUCAAGGCUGAGGUGUGAUGACGAGGCACUACGGUGCUGAAGUAACAAAUGCCCUGCUUCCAGGAAAAGCCUCUAAGCAUCAGGUAACAUCAAAUCGUACCCCAAACCGACACAGGUGGUCAGGUAGAGAAUACCAAGGCGCUUGAGAGAACUCGGGUGAAGGAACUAGGCAAAAUGGUGCCGUAACUUCGGGAGAAGGCACGCUGGUGUGUAGGUGAAGCCCCUGCGGGUGGAGCUGAGACCAGUCGAAGAUACCAGCUGGCUGCAACUGUUUAUUAAAAACACAGCACUGUGCAAACACGAAAGUGGACGUAUACGGUGUGACGCCUGCCCGGUGCCGGAAGGUUAAUUGAUGGGGUUAUCCGUAAGGAGAAGCUCUUGAUCGAAGCCCCGGUAAACGGCGGCCGUAACUAUAACGGUCCUAAGGUAGCGAAAUUCCUUGUCGGGUAAGUUCCGACCUGCACGAAUGGCGUAAUGAUGGCCAGGCUGUCUCCACCCGAGACUCAGUGAAAUUGAACUCGCUGUGAAGAUGCAGUGUACCCGCGGCAAGACGGAAAGACCCCGUGAACCUUUACUAUAGCUUGACACUGAACAUUGAGCCUUGAUGUGUAGGAUAGGUGGGAGGCUUUGAAGCGUGGACGCCAGUCUGCGUGGAGCCAACCUUGAAAUACCACCCUUUAAUGUUUGAUGUUCUAACGUUGGCCCCUGACCGGGGUUGCGGACAGUGUCUGGUGGGUAGUUUGACUGGGGCGGUCUCCUCCCAAAGCGUAACGGAGGAGCACGAAGGUUAGCUAAUCCUGGUCGGACAUCAGGAGGUUAGUGCAAUGGCAUAAGCUAGCUUGACUGCGAGCGUGACGGCGCGAGCAGGUGCGAAAGCAGGUCAUAGUGAUCCGGUGGUUCUGAAUGGAAGGGCCAUCGCUCAACGGAUAAAAGGUACUCCGGGGAUAACAGGCUGAUACCGCCCAAGAGUUCAUAUCGACGGCGGUGUUUGGCACCUCGAUGUCGGCUCAUCACAUCCUGGGGCUGAAGUAGGUCCCAAGGGUAUGGCUGUUCGCCAUUUAAAGUGGUACGCGAGCUGGGUUUAGAACGUCGUGAGACAGUUCGGUCCCUAUCUGCCGUGGGCGCUGGAGAAUUGAGGGGGGCUGCUCCUAGUACGAGAGGACCGGAGUGGACGCAUCACUGGUGUUCGGGUUGUCAUGCCAAUGGCACUGCCCGGUAGCUAAAUGCGGAAGAGAUAAGUGCUGAAAGCAUCUAAGCACGAAACUUGCCCCGAGAUGAGUUCUCCCUGAGACUUUAAGUCUCCUGAAGGAACGUUGAAGACGACGACGUUGAUAGGCCGGGUGUGUAAGCGCAGCGAUGCGUUGAGCUAACCGGUACUAAUGAACCGUGAGGCUUAACCU
This 2897-nucleotide ribosomal RNA is filed under the name Klebsiella pneumoniae. RNAcentral describes it as "23S ribosomal RNA". It matches the Rfam family "Bacterial large subunit ribosomal RNA". The record is from RNAcentral. Lineage: Bacteria; Pseudomonadati; Pseudomonadota; Gammaproteobacteria; Enterobacterales; Enterobacteriaceae.